CUGACGCUGCUCUAUCGCCUCUUUGCCCCGCUCCGUUCGUUCCAAACUCUGCCGCUGCCUCCCAGCUACCGCAGCCUUCACCCCCACAGUUACCUCCCAACCGCCACGGCCGUUAGUGCCGCCGCCGCCAUCUUGGUUUCUCACCGUCAAGACAGGUCUGCAACCAAACGCACAAUAUCUCUGAGGUGUGCCUGUAUAUAUACUACUGGUUCUGUUUCACUGGAUCACCUUGACUAAUACCAUAGUAAAUGCCCUGCCUUUCAAGCACCAUAAUCUAUUGCCCCAAAUGAAGAUGUUGCUGGGAAGGAACAGAAUAUUUUAGCAUUUAUCUAAAGGACAUAAACUGAAGCUAUGGUGAAGCUUAGCAGAUUCGCAGGCUCCAAAGACUUUGCUUAAGAAGAGUCAGAACAGGACUUGUCCAUAUUCAUAAGGCGUGUCUGCCACACUUCCUACGGCUGGGACUGGUGCUUUUGAAGGGCUCUGACUCAGUUAGCCAGCGAUGUACAACACGAAGCAUUUAUUCUCAGCAGCCCUGAUGCUUGGGUCAGCUGAUGAGGCUCUGCUUCAGGCUGUGGGUCAGCUGGGCUCAGAAGGUCCACAGAACUUGGCUCCAGGCUCCAGAUGGCGUUCAGUUCUUCUCCACACAUCUCUCAGUCUCCUGGGACCACCAGACUGCAUGACAUGUUUUUCUCAUAAUGAUGCCAGAAGGACAAGAGGACAAGUCUGGUCACGUAAGCACGUUUCCAGCACCUGCUCUGCUCACAUCUGCCACCAUCGCCUUGGCCAAAGCAAAAUGCAUGGCAAAGCUCAAAGCCAAUGGGAGAGGAAGUGAACUCCACCUUCUAGGAAGCAGGGAGGCAAAUACAAAAUUCAGGAUGGAGAUCUGGGGUCCCAAUGUAACAUACUACAGCCUGUUCAUUUCUGGUUUGUUUUCCUGACAGUGAUUCUCUCACUUCUACAUCUGCUUUGAUGGAAAAAAAGCCAAAAAAAUAAAACACAUUCUAUCCCA
This is a non-coding RNA of Odocoileus virginianus texanus, 1009 nucleotides long. The record is from RefSeq and is a predicted model, not a curated record. Lineage: Eukaryota; Metazoa; Chordata; Mammalia; Artiodactyla; Cervidae.